CCCUUAGAUGUUCUGGGCCGCACGCGCGCUACACUGACGAGGUCAGCGAGCAUCUCCUACGCCGAAAGGUGCGGGGAAUCUUGUGAAACUUUGUCGUGCUGGGGAUUGAUUUUUGAAAUUCUUGAUCAUCAACGAGGAAUUCCUAGUAAGCGCAAGUCAGCAGCUUGCGUUGAUUACGUCCCUGCCCUUUGUACACACCGCCCGUCGCUACUACCGAUUGAAUGGUUUAGUGAGAUUUUUGGACUGGAACUCUCUUGUUCAGCAAUGAACGAGAGGGACUCUGGGAAGCUAUUCUAACUGUAUCAUUUAGAGGAAGUAAAAGUCGUAACA
This 330-nucleotide ribosomal RNA is filed under the name uncultured eukaryote. Its description in RNAcentral is "partial 18S ribosomal RNA". It matches the Rfam family "Eukaryotic small subunit ribosomal RNA", at positions 1470 to 1796 of the family's 1831-position model. The record is from RNAcentral.